AGCUUUGCGCAGUGGCAGUAUCGUAGCCAAUGAGGUUUAUCCGAGGCGCGAUUAUUGCUAAUUGAAAACUGUCCAAACAUAAGCAACCACUGGGGAAGGAAACAUUUUCCAUUUGAUCUGAAGUCUUUUCCGUUCAGUAGCCUUUAAGAUUUAUCUAGAGGAUUCUCAAGGAC
This 173-nucleotide small nuclear RNA is filed under the name Chinchilla lanigera (long-tailed chinchilla). RNAcentral describes it as "U4 spliceosomal RNA (ENSCLAG00000021030.1)". The stretch from base 1 to 148 matches the Rfam family "U4 spliceosomal RNA". Rfam says of the family: U4 small nuclear RNA (U4 snRNA) is a component of the major U2-dependent spliceosome. The structure of U4 snRNA from yeast and human has been reported. The record is from RNAcentral. Lineage: Eukaryota; Metazoa; Chordata; Mammalia; Rodentia; Chinchillidae.